Molecule: non-coding RNA, 73 nt
Organism: Dreissena polymorpha
Lineage: Eukaryota; Metazoa; Mollusca; Bivalvia; Myida; Dreissenidae
Source: the annotation of a RefSeq genome assembly
GGCUCCAUAGCUCAGUGGUUAGAGCGCCUGUCUAGUAAACAGGAGGUCGUGGGUUCGAUUCCCAUUGGAGCCU